This 200-nucleotide ribosomal RNA is filed under the name uncultured bacterium. RNAcentral describes it as "partial 16S ribosomal RNA". It matches the Rfam family "Bacterial small subunit ribosomal RNA", at positions 8 to 234 of the family's 1533-position model. The record is from RNAcentral.
AGAGUUUGAUCCUGGCUCAGAACGAACGCUGGCGGCAGGCCUAAUACAUGCAAGUCGAACGGGCGUAGCAAUACGUCAGUGGCGGACGGGUGAGUAACACGUGGGAACAUGCCCUUCGGUACGGAACAACUCAGGGAAACUUGAGCUAAUACCGUAUACGCCGGCAACGGGAAAGAUUUAUCGCCGAAGGAUUGGCCCGC